Molecule: long non-coding RNA, 373 nt
Filed under: Pan troglodytes (chimpanzee)
Lineage: Eukaryota; Metazoa; Chordata; Mammalia; Primates; Hominidae
Description: long non-coding RNA NONPTRT006068
Source: RNAcentral
CCUCUACCUCCUGGGUUCAAGUGAUUCUCCUGCCUCAGCCUUCCUAGUAGCUGGGGUUGUGCCACCAUGCCCAGCUAAUUUUUUAUUUUUAGUAGACGGGGUUUCACCAUGUUGGCCAGGCUAGUCCAAAACUCCUGACCUCAAGUUAUCCGCCUGCCUCAGCCUCCCAAAGUGUUGGGAUUACAGGUAUGAGCCACCACCUAGUCCCCUUUUGUUGUAUUUAUACAAAAUUCCAAACUAAAGAUGUGUAGUAAAAGUAAUGUCUAUGACCCCGCAAAUCCACCAAGAGAAAUGAAGGCAUCUGAAUAACAAAACAGUGAACGUAGAAGUCUUUCAUGCUAAAAUGUUUAGAGGUGAAUAAUACUGAUAUCUG